RNAcentral lists this microRNA (21 nucleotides) under Camelina sativa (false flax). RNAcentral describes it as "cas-miR159c-5". Its record names the gene cas-miR159c-5. The record is from miRBase by way of RNAcentral. Lineage: Eukaryota; Viridiplantae; Streptophyta; Magnoliopsida; Brassicales; Brassicaceae.
AGAAGAAGAGGAAGAGCUCCU